CUGGCGGCGUGCCUAAUGCAUGCAAGUCGAACGGUCUUUCUAUGGAAGCUUGCUUCCACUGAGAAGAUAGUGGCGAACGGGUGAGUAACACGUGGGUAACCUGCCCAUAAGAGGGGGAUAACAUCCGGAAACGGGUGCUAAUACCGCAUAGUUUUCUUGAUCGCAUGAUCGGGAAAGGAAAGACGGCCUUUGUGCUGUCGCUUAUGGAUGGACCCGCGGCGUAUUAGUUAGUUGGUGAGGUAACGGCUCACCAAGACGAUGAUACGUAGCCGACCUGAGAGGGUGAUCGGCCACAUUGGGACUGAGACACGGCCCAAACUCCUACGGGAGGCAGCAGUAGGGAAUCUUCCGCAAUGGACGAAAGUCUGACGGAGCAACGCCGCGUGAGUGAAGAAAAGGUUUUCGGAUCGUAAAACUCUGUUGUCAGAGAAGAACAAGUUGGAGAGUAACUGCUCCAGCCUUGACGGUAUCUGACCAGAAAGCCACGGCUAACUACGUGCCAGCAGCGGC
This 510-nucleotide ribosomal RNA is filed under the name uncultured bacterium. RNAcentral's name for it is "bacterial SSU rRNA". It matches the Rfam family "Bacterial small subunit ribosomal RNA", at positions 36 to 518 of the family's 1533-position model. The record is from RNAcentral.